AUUGAACGCUGGCGGCAUGCUUUACACAUGCAAGUCGAACGGCAGCGCGGGCUUCGGCCUGGCGGCGAGUGGCGAACGGGUGAGUAAUACAUCGGAACGUGCCCAGUAGUGGGGGAUAGCUCGGCGAAAGCCGGAUUAAUACCGCAUACGACCUGAGGGUGAAAGCGGGGGAUCUUCGGACCUCGCGCUCUUGGAGCGGCCGAUGGCAGAUUAGCUAGUUGGUGGGGUAAAGGCCUACCAAGGCGACGAUCUGUAGCUGGUCUGAGAGGACGACCAGCCACACUGGGACUGAGACACGGCCCAGACUCCUACGGGAGGCAGCAGUAGGGAAUUUUGGACAAUGGGCGAAAGCCUGAUCCAGCAAUGCCGCGUGUGUGAUGAAGGCCUUCGGGUUGUAAAGCACUUUUGGCGGGAACGAAAAGGACUGUGCCAAUACCACGGUUCGAUGACGGUACCCGCAGAAUAAGCACCGGCUAACUACGUG
This 484-nucleotide ribosomal RNA is filed under the name uncultured bacterium. RNAcentral describes it as "partial 16S ribosomal RNA". It matches the Rfam family "Bacterial small subunit ribosomal RNA", at positions 29 to 507 of the family's 1533-position model. The record is from RNAcentral.